This is a long non-coding RNA of Hyaena hyaena (striped hyena), 462 nucleotides long. RefSeq lists it as uncharacterized. The transcript has 4 exons. NCBI's taxonomy places the organism in Eukaryota, Metazoa, Chordata, Mammalia, Carnivora, Hyaenidae. The record is from RefSeq and is a predicted model, not a curated record.
CCCCCGCGGGGCCGGGAAGGCCUCCGAUUUUCUUCUUUGGAAACUUCGCUAGGAAAGGAAAGGCUAGAUCCUGCCGAGGAGCCAGCUGAGGACCUGUUCGGUCCAGCCCAGCACUUAGCUCAGCUCCAAACGCUGUGAAUGGCUCAACUCCCUCAAGAUGAGAAGCUCGCUCAGGUCCCUUCCUUGAGCAAUCGGGACCACCACGAAACCACGAAAGGGUUUUGCUGCACGUCCAUAGUUACUAAAAGUGCUUUGCUCAGCCCACAGGAAUGAACAUUUUUGGAAAUUCCAUUCAUGGAAACAGGGGACGGGGAGCAGAGGGAGCCGCAUAAGGGUUCUCCAGGGCCUCCUUGACUCUGCUGACCAUCAGCGGCCAUGAACUGCUGCUGACAGACGAGAAAUGAAGUGGCAGAGACGGAGGGAGGGCAGAUGUCUGCAGCUGCAUGGUGCACCCCCUCCCUG